Molecule: non-coding RNA, 2333 nt
Organism: Taeniopygia guttata (zebra finch)
Lineage: Eukaryota; Metazoa; Chordata; Aves; Passeriformes; Estrildidae
Source: RefSeq, a predicted model, not a curated record
GCAGGAUCUGAACACAGAAGCAUGCGCGGCCAGAAUGGGCAAGGCAGAGGCACAAAGAGGAGAGCAGCAGGAGGAAGAAAAGAGGCAACAUCAUUUUAGCCACUUCAACACACGACUAACAGACUACAAUCCCAUUAUUUUCUGCUACAGAAUACCGCUGGCACCACCUGGAAAAAAGUGAUCGUUAGGCAAAUAUCAGUGAUCACUGCCGGCAGCUGAAGGUGGUUUGGGAAACAGCUUUGAGAAAUGUGGGCAAUUACGGGGAAAUUCACAGCUCUUCAAAUUUCUGAAGUCUGGAAAAGCUGCCAAAUCCCGGAGGCGAUGCCUGACUCCUGUAUCUGCACCCUCCUGGCUCCCUGCCUGCCCAGCAGUGUCUGCACACGGAGAAAAGAGGAGGAAACGUCGCAGAAGCAGGCUGAAAGCAGAGUUAGCACCAAGGAGACCUAGCCCAGGAGAUCAAAGGAAAGGCUGUUACCUGUGCUCCAGAAAACCGAGGGAGAUGUGCAGGGUUUUUGGGGCUGGACUGGCUGCUGGGGAUGGUUGCUGCCUCCCAGGUAAGAUCCUCUUAGGAGUUGGGUUUCAAGUAAGUGAAACCCAAAUGUGUUUUUGUGCACUUGCUAUGGCUUCUGCACAGCAUGAAUUCAUUCUGGGCUUGUGCCUUUUCUCAGGGAUUAACCCUCAUCUCCAAUACCCCUGGAUCCAGCACCACAGGAAUUUUGGCUCAGCACUUUGCAUGAUAUUUUUGCAUAUUUAGAAACUGCAAUAAACUCAAGAGGUGAUGGCAGCCAUGUCCCCACCCCUACCCUCACAUCUGCUCCAGCUUCUUCCCAACACACUGCUCUGUGCCCUGGCUCAUGAGUCCAGGGCUAUGCUGCAAAUGCAGUUAAGACCCAGAUUUAUGGUGCAGGCUGUGUCAGAAAGUGUGAGGGAAAAUGUUAGUGGAUGUAAACCAGCUGUAACAAAGCCUGUGCCUGUGCCUGCGCUGCUCAGCACCUCUGCCAGCUCCCACCAGAACUCCUCAGCCCACUCUGAUGCAUCUCACCUGGGGAUCCCACCCAUUAUUGCUUUAAUUAAUGAACUGAUAAUUUAAUUACUACAUUUAAUCAGAGUAAAAGAAUUAAACAAGAUUUGCUGCAUGCAAUGGAGAGAGUAUGAUCAAUAGCUGAUGCUCCUGUUAUAUUCUUAUUCCUCCUCCUUAUGUUUCUAAAAAGCACUUGGUCCAUUUUAGAAGCUUCCCUAUUUCCAAAACAUGCUUUAAUGUGGCACCUUAUACCCAAACUGAAACUGGUUCUUGAUAGUCCCUGAUUCCAAAUGGGAAAGAAAGUUUUAGGAAAUCCAUGGAAAUUUAUUUUAAAGUAAUAGUAAUCUAUUUUGGUGCUUUUGCAGUUCUGGACCCAUCUCUCAUUAUUCUUUCAUUAAUAAAAAAGUCCUAUUUUAUCCCCAAACUGCCUCUCUGAUUCACGAGAUGCAGCACCUCCCCUCGUCCCCUAAUGAGCUGAUUAAUGAGGGCACAGCAGCAAGGAAGCAAAUCUGGCUGUGUGGUGCAGGCAGCUCCCAGGGCUGCCUUUGACCUGUGACUUUUUAUAUGACUUCUUGUGGUUUGAGUGAAGGUGGAAAGCUCUGAGCUGUGGUAAGCUUUUCCUUCAGUGGGGGAGCAACUCUAUUUCCUGCCUUAUAUCUGUAUCACGUGCUGCACAAGUGACCUACAUUCCUCCUCCUCAUCCCCGCUCAAAUUCGGAGAGAAAAGCAUCUCUUCCAACAACCACAACACCCAAACCAGCUGGUUCACAGUUCUGGGAGGACCAAUAUGCACUUUGGAACCCACCAUCUAUCUUCUGGAGAAAGGAAUCAGCCCUUGGUUUCCCAAGGAAACAGAUGAAAAUGAUACAGGACUGGGAUUUCCAUGGAGGAUGUGCUUGCCUUGGAGGAAAAUGGUGCCAUUUGUCUCAGCAAUGCUGAUGCCCUCCAGAUGUGUGCCCAUCAAAGUGUGGGCUGGGGGCUUCCUGUCAUCUCUGCCCUCUGUUUUUGGGGGGUGUUUAGUCCAACCCUCUGACAUGAGCAGGGACACUUUUCACUAGACCUGGUUACUCCAAUCCCUGUCCAGCUUGACCUUGGACACUUCAGGGAUGGGGCAUCCACAGCUUCUCUGGGCAGCCUGUGCCAGGGCCUCACCACCCUCACAGGUACCUCAGCUGCUGUCCAAGAUGCACAGAGCCAUUUGUUUCCAUAAAAUGACAUUUCCAGAAAUAUAUCCACAGCACUCAAAAGCUUCUCUUCCUUUCUAUUUGUAUUUGCUUGGACAAUAAGCAAAUAAAUGUUUGUGGUUGCUGGGG